CAAUAGCGUAUAUUAAUGUUGUUGCAGUUAAAAGCUCGUAGUCGGAUUUUGGGAGCAUGUUGCACUGUCUGCCGAUUGGUAUGUACGGUUUAACGGCUUCAUUCCUUGACAAAACUCUGGUGGGCCUUCAUUGGUCUACUUGUUGGGUUGUCGUCUUUUACUUUGAAAAAUUAGAGUGUUCAAAGCAGGCCUAUGCUCUGAAUAGGUUAGCAUGGAAUAAUAGAAUAGGACUUUGGUUCUAUUUUGUUGGUUUCUAGACCGAACGUAAUAGAUUAAUAGGGACGAGUUGGGGGUCGGAUUUUUAUUUCCUACUUGUUCAGAGGUGGAAAUUACUUUGGUAGUU
RNAcentral lists this ribosomal RNA (343 nucleotides) under uncultured eukaryote. RNAcentral's name for it is "bacterial SSU rRNA". It matches the Rfam family "Eukaryotic small subunit ribosomal RNA", at positions 592 to 931 of the family's 1831-position model. The record is from RNAcentral.